GAAGGCGGAGCCGCCCAGGUCCCCCCGGGCGUCGAUGAAUGUGGGGUACCAUUCCUUGAUGAUGUGGUCAUGUUUGUAGUCGGCCUUAUUGUCCUUUAGAUGUUCCACGGUGUUCCGCUCGCUCUUCUCAUAGGCCUCCCGGGGCUUCCGGACAGACACCUUGCAUUCUCGGACCUUGUUGACGAUGAAUUCUUGGAUGAGAAACCUGAUAUCUUCCAUGAGUCAUCAUAAAGAAGUCUGAAUAUCUUGGUUGAGAGCUAGACUUUGGAAACAGAGAGACCCUGUAUAAUAACAGACUAAGAAGUAAGGAAGACAAGCCCAGCCAGUCCCACAACUAUUUCAUUAAUACCAGGUAAAGCAACAGACCUGCCAGUGAAGCAUCUUGGAUCCUUUAGCUUUAGUAAUGUUCUUGUAGUAAUUUUGGAAGUCAAUACUUUCCUUAAGAAUACUAAAGUUUUCUUUUGGGAAAAGAGAAAAACUGAGGAGAGGAAACAAACUGCUCUUAUACCUUCUUCCAUGGUCUUUGGAUGAAGGUUAAGUUAUGGGCCCCAAAAGUGGGCUAGCCUCAUUUGGAUAAUACUCCAUCCUAAGCAGUAUGGUUUUGAAUAAGUUGCUGAGACUUUCUGUGCCUCCAUUUGUAAAUGGUAUAAUAAUACCUAGUUCAUGGAAUUGUUGUGAGAAUGACAUAAGUGAAAGUAUGUAUAUUUCCAUGUUCUAUAUAAACUGGUUUUCUACAAAUUACAAAGCAACAACUAACCAAGUUAAUUGAAAUCGAGUACUUUAUUCAAGUAAUAAAUAUCUGGUAUUUACAAAUCAAAAUUGAAAAUCAUAGUACAUAACGAAAAUUCAUAUAUACAGAUCAACAAAUAUAGUAAUUUAAAAC
Molecule: long non-coding RNA, 883 nt
Filed under: Homo sapiens (human)
Lineage: Eukaryota; Metazoa; Chordata; Mammalia; Primates; Hominidae
Description: HSALNT0322255
Source: RNAcentral